Molecule: transfer RNA, 78 nt
Filed under: Bacillota bacterium
Lineage: Bacteria; Bacillati; Bacillota
Description: tRNA-Pro
Rfam family: tRNA
About the family: Transfer RNA (tRNA) molecules are approximately 80 nucleotides in length. Their secondary structure includes four short double-helical elements and three loops (D, anti-codon, and T loops).
Source: RNAcentral
CGGGGCGUAGCGCAGCUUGGAUAGCGCACUUGGCUUGGGACCAAGGGGUCGGGGGUUCAAAUCCCUCCGCCCCGACCA